Molecule: RNA transcript, 3353 nt
Organism: Gorilla gorilla gorilla (western lowland gorilla)
Lineage: Eukaryota; Metazoa; Chordata; Mammalia; Primates; Hominidae
Gene: SMIM34
Gene name: small integral membrane protein 34
Exons: 3
Source: RefSeq, a predicted model, not a curated record
AUCAUAUGGCUUAUUUUAUAACUUACUUACCCAGUACCCCAUUGAUGGAAAUUUCAUCAAAUUGUAUCUUAAAAACCAGCAACCAUCACAAACGUGGCAGGUUAGAGUCCUAGAGUGACGAUUAGGAAGAAAUGGAGCUGGAAACAAUGGCUGGAUGAUUUAACUUGCCGGUCUUCCAACUUUUCCUUCCCUGCUCCUGGGGAAACUUUACCCGCAGACACUUACUCUAGCACUUUCCAAUUAAACCUACCUCAACUCCAAUGGGGUCUGUGACUCUGGGAAAGAGAAGAGCCAUUUCUCACCACCUGGCACAGGAGCCCACUGCCCACUGACCCCUCAGGGAAAGCCCAAGGCCCCUCAGGUGUGUCACCCUGGGGGUGUCACUCCCUUCCUGUCUGGGUUUCCUCAUCUGGGAGACUGUCCAGAGGAAGCUGGUGACUCUUGACCAUGGAGUUUCCUGGCCCUAUGAUGACAGAUCUCUGCCACACCUGGCCAUCUGCCACACCUGCAACAGGUGCAGAACACAGGGGAAUUCAAUAGCCAUCCAAGCUCUAAGCUGAGAGCCAGCCUCAGGGGGAGCUUCUGGCCACCUCAGUUCAUGAUGGGACCUGGGAGAGCUGGAGAUUCCUUAAUACCGGCACGUUUUAAAAAAUUGUUUUGAUUUAGAACUUCUUAACAAGUCAAAGCUGGGAAGUGCUUUCUGUUCUGAUGCAACAGAAGACACAGCAAAUCGGAUCCUCUCAUUAAUUGCAUGAAAGCAAAGUCAUCCACUUACUAAGUUUCUGUUUGGUGUUGCCGUAAGAUUGUUGGAAGAUCAUAUUACUCCCCACUCUGGAAACUCAGUGCAGCUCAACUGCAGUAGGACUGAUUCUUCCCUAGGAGACGGAGUUCUCCUUUCAUCAUCUUCCCCUUCUGUGCAUGGUAGCCGCUUGAACUUGCCUCUCCGAGUCAAGGACAAGACCACCCCAUGGAAUGGGCCAAGUGGACUCCCCAUGAAGCCUCCAACCAGACCCAGGCCAGCACCCUCCUGGGGCUCCUGCUGGGUGACCACACGGAAGGGAGGAAUGACACCAACUCCACCAGGGCUCUGAAGGUGCCAGACGGAACUAGCGCUGCCUGGUAUAUCCUCACCAUCAUCGGCAUCUACGCGGUGAUUUUCAUCUUCCGGCUGGCCAGCAACAUCCUCAGAAAGAAUGACAAGUCCUUAGAAGAUGUUUAUUACUCAAAUCUGACCUCUGAACUCAAAAUGAUAGGGCUGCAGGGCAAGGUUGCCAAGUGCUCCACCCUGACUAUCAGCAACAGAGCUGUGCUGCAGCCCUGCCAGGCCCACCUGGGGGCAAAGGGCGGGAGCAGCGGGCCCCAAACCGCAACCCCAGAGACCCCUUAAGAGUCAAGGCCAGGAGGCCUUCCCUAGGGUGGCCCCAGACUUCUUGGAGGGGAGCAGCUUUGGGUUUACUUGGAGCCCUUGAGGGGGACUGGGGGUGCGUCACUGACAAAGGGUGCUUCUGGCUGCUAGUUUGUGACCAGAGCCAGCCACCCAGUUCCUUCUCAGGCUUCCAGGUGCUUCGAGAAGAGAGAGCAGGGCAGCGGUUUCCAGCCAAAUUCAAUCUUCACUGGCAAAGCCUGUGCUCUGGGGAGGAGCACUAUUCCACUGUUCUCGGAGGAAUCCGGGAGACUCCUGGGGGCAUACAAGGAGGUGACCCCUUGUCAUGGAAAGAAGAGUGAACUUGGAGUCAGUCCUGGGUUAAAAUUCAACUUCUGGGGAGUCACAUAAACUGAGCAGCUUAGUUGCUCACCUGAGACAUCAAGGGUUUGGAGACAGAUGGUUUUAAAAGCUAUUUUAUUUGAAAGACUCUAGCUUGAAUAUACGACCAAAGUUGUUAAUAUCAGAAGUUGGAAAUUCUUCAUUUUCAUUGAAAGAAUUAGCAGGGUCUUUGUGACCUGUAUCUUGUGAUAUCAAUCCUGCUGGCCUCCUGUCUCACCCUGUGACUAAGAAUGCCUACCCUCCUGGAAUGCAGUCCAGCAAGUCUCAUCCUCAUUUUACACAGCCUUUAAUCAAGAUGGAGUCGCUCUGGUUCGAAAACCUCUGACAGAAUUGCUGGAUCCAUUUUGCCACCAUGAAGAAAGCCAACUUGAAGGCAAAAACCCAGCAUAUAGAAAGGAGAAGAACUAGGAAAUUACAGAGACCAGAGCCUGUACCAACUGUACCCAGAGCCUUCAUUUACCACUGGAGUUUUUCAGUUUGUGAACCAAUGAAUUCCUUUUAUUAAGUCUGUUGGAGCUAGGCUUUUGUUCCUUACAACCAAAAAUAUCCUAAAUGAUACCACUGGAUAAAAUGAUUUCCCGAAGGAAGUGGGCCUUGGAGUCAAAUUUGAAAAGAGAAGAUGUGUGAUGUGCUGUGUGGGAGGCUGGGAUCAUUUUUUUUCCCCAAGAUUUUUAUAUUUAUAGGCUUUUAUAUUUAUAGGGGAAAAAACAGAUUCGGUACACUUCUUACUUCAGCUCAAUGAUCAUUUGCAGGACUUCUCAUUGCUUGACCUCUCAAAGAGCACUCAGUGAGACUCUGUACCAUUUAAUCCUCACCCCUGACUGUCAGUAGACUGCCAUGGAAACCCCAAGGAUGCCUGUCCUGUUGGACAUGCGGUCAGAGACUGGCUCCAAAGAUAUCUCCCAAAGAGCAAAAGCCACCAUCUUCCUGUUGGUGCCCAGACACAGGUGCAUGAGCUCCAAGGACUCCUUCCUAGGCCACCUCUCUGCUGCCUGAUCUAAACUCACCUCGUUUCUGGGAGCUGGUCUGAGAGUCUGCCUUGGAGAUGUGUUGGAUGGGAACUAGGGGUUUGUAGGCUCCAUUGUGAGCAAUACUGAUGGGAAAUGACCCCAACUGGUAUGGAUAUUUUGCAUAAAGCCCCUGAAAUCUGACAUGCUCAGGGUCAGAGCCAUGAACCACUGUCUUGACAAACCCCAUGUACAUGGACUAAUAAGGAAGGUGUGGGCACCAUGGCGUUAGUGUUCAACUGGAGAGUAGGAAAGAGAUUUGCAUGUGCCACCAGCCCUGAUAGAGACAGUGACAGAACACACUGAUUCUCAACAUUCCAGACACCUGCUGUCUUUGUCCCUAUGUAGGUUUCCCCCAAUAUUUAGGGGAUCAGGUCAGAUAAAGGCCUUCCUCUGAAAUGGAAAUUAUUUAAAAUCGAUGAGGAAGUCAUCCAGGAAUGACUUCCUCUGGUGAUCUGUGGCUGAUGGUGCUAGGGUUUGUAUCAGACCAAAUCAAGCUAACUAGAGCUUCCCCAGGUGAUUGUAACCCAUCUCCUAAAUAAAACUUGCAUCGACUCGGUUGCAUUACAAUUUGAUUUUCC